GGGGGUGUGGCUCAGUGGCACAGCACUUGCCUAGCAGAAGCAAGGCCCUGGGUUCAAUCCUCAGCACCUCAA
Molecule: transfer RNA, 72 nt
Filed under: Heterocephalus glaber (naked mole-rat)
Lineage: Eukaryota; Metazoa; Chordata; Mammalia; Rodentia; Bathyergidae
Rfam family: tRNA
About the family: Transfer RNA (tRNA) molecules are approximately 80 nucleotides in length.
Source: Rfam by way of RNAcentral